Molecule: RNA transcript, 5403 nt
Organism: Anastrepha obliqua
Lineage: Eukaryota; Metazoa; Arthropoda; Insecta; Diptera; Tephritidae
Gene: mthl1
Gene name: probable G-protein coupled receptor Mth-like 1
Exons: 3
Source: RefSeq, a predicted model, not a curated record
AGUUGCUGUCUUUUUACUUCUCCAGUCAUCAAAUCAUAGAUGAUGAAGUGAUGCAAUUGCAAAGUGUUUGGUAAAGAAGUUGGUCGGUUGGUUUCGUGGUUCGAAAGCAGUUUAAUUCUUAUUAUUUUCUCCGGUUUUUCUGAGUUUUUCACUCUUAUCAUAUUUUCUUGACAAAUUAAGUGCGGGCGGAAACGGGACUAUUGCGGUAUAGAAGUAAAAUUGUGCUAAUUGCAAAACAAUGAAAUUUACUACGUAAACCUAAGAAAGCUGUGGUGGAGGUGGUGGAAGUAAAGAAGCUUUAAAAAUUGUGAAUACAAUUCGAAGUGAAAAUCCAAGGAAUGGAAAGGAAAGUGAAGUGAAAAAGUAUACACAAACUAAACAAUGAAGUUUGAUUUAAACCUUCUAAAGCAGUAUUCAUAUUAUUUUGUUGUUGAAUAAAGAAGGAAAUAUUUCUAAGUGGGUUAAAAAGGUAGUGUUCUUGUGAUAAACAAUAGAAAAAUGCAUGGAAUGCGAGUAACAGAAGUACGCAGAGUUUUUGUAUUUUUUCUCAUUGUGAAUGCAUUGAUGCAUUAUGAUGUACGAGCACUUGCAGCAAGCGAUGUAGAGCAGGUAGUGGACAAGGAGGAAUCCAGUGCAGCACGAGUGGCCACAGAUGUGACUACGAAUAUGACAACAGGAAUACCACGAAUUCCUCCCCCACGGGUGAAGUUAAACAAAUGUUGUCGAUACAAUGAGCACAUGAAUUUAAAUGAGACCUGUGUUAUGGGCAACUCCGAAUUAUGGGUGCCCCUGAUUUUUCUGAUUAAUCGAAGACAAUAUUAUACACCACAAGGGGGUAAACCCAAAUUCAUGACGUUCCAAGAAAAUGUCCGCCCCAUGGUGGAUGCAACCAGCAUUAUUUCAAUGCAGGAUGUGGAGGCGGAAAACUACGUAAAAGAGCAAAAACGUAAUUGUACGUCGGAUGAAUUGGAAUUUUUUUCAGCUGGCGGAAAUUGGUUAAUAUUCUCAAAUGGCUCGUUAUUUUUGGGGGAACGCAAGCAGUUUAUUGAACCGCAACGCUUUUGUGUCGAUCGAAAUGGCGUACUCGUCUGCUUUCCUCGCGAGAGUAAUGGUAAGCAACGAAUAAAGAUAAGAAAAUGCUGCGGAUGGAAUGGUAUUUAUGAUGCUGCAAAGAAACAAUGCAUAUUUCCUGGCAGCCAUAGUGACGCUAAUGCCAUCGCUACUGCUGAGUUGCCAUUGAAUAAGAGUUUGUACGAGACAAUAUACGGGUUUCCUGCAUGCCACAAAAAAGAUAUACCUUAUGCUAUUGCUGGAGAUUGGCAUGAAAACCAACUGGAUAGUGACAAUGGAAAUCUUAAAUUAGCCCAUAAACAAAUAGCUACAGGUGAUUAUUGUCUAGAGCAUUUGAGCAAAAACGAUGCAAUUGUCGCAAUCAAAAUAUUCACUUGCCUUCAUCACUUCUCUACUGAGGCUCCUGCCAAUGCUAUUGCUGCAGUGGGUAGCACAUCCAGUGACAGAAUACAAGUAGCUGCGCUCAAUAUUGGCAUUGUGAUUUCAGUCGUUUUCUUGGGUGCCACAUUGGUUGCUGGUUAUAUGAUGCCAUCUGUCCAUCAUAUGCUACACUGGCGUUGUCAGAUUUACUAUGUUUUUUGCUUGUUCGUUGGAGACUUAAUACUCGCCUAUACACAACUAUCACGGACACUUGAACAUGGCUCGUUAACCUGUCUACAUUUGGCCAGCAUAAUGCACUUCUUCUUUCUAUCGGCUUUCUUUUGGCUCAAUACAAUGUGCUUCAACAUCUGGUGGACUUUUCGCGAUUUUCGGCCGAGUUCGCUCGAACGUAAUCAAGAGUUGUUGCGGUUACGCCUUUAUUCAGCAUACGCUUGGGGUGUACCGUUGUUGAUAAGCGCUAUCGCGUACAUCGUAGAUCAUUUGCCUGAAACUCAGUUAUUACGACCCGGCUUUGGCGAACGCAGUUGCUGGUUUAGCGGAGAGCACUUAUCGAUAUUUGCGUAUUUCUUUGGACCAAUUGGACUUCUACUAUGCGUUAAUAUUAUGCUUUUCAUAUCAACAACGCAUCAAUUGACAUGCGGUUUGUGGAAACGUGAUGAUGUCAAAUCGACCACUGAGAAGACAGCGCUGGGCAAAGUGUGCUUGAAGCUGGUUGUGGUAAUGGGUGUCACCUGGAUAGCCGACGUGAUUUCUUGGCUGGUUGGCGGACCAUAUUCUGCUUGGUUUUUCACCGAUAUGAUAAAUGCCUUGCAGGGCGUAUUUAUUUUCAUUGUAGUAGGUUGUCAACCGCAAGUAUGGGCUGCCUGCAAGCGUUUUUGCUGUCCACGUUCCCGUCAAGAGAUUACAAAUACAACAAAUGGUGUUCAGCAUUCAAGUUCAUCCCAGGGUCUUCCGUCGGUGGGGGGAUAUGCUGGUGGCGAACACACGCAAAAUACUUCUGUGAAUACGACGACCAUUAGUAGUACCCAGUUGCAGACUAAAACCAAAAUACCAAUGGAAACAGUAUGUUAAGUAUUUCUUCAACGAAAGCACAAUUUCAUUUCGCAGACGUCGGCAGUUUAUUCACACCGAUAUAUACACAACAUACCAUAGCAGCAGUUGAACUGGACGGCGGAGUACGCGUCGAAUGCCGAAGAUCAGAUCACUGCAAAGCAGUGAUUCCACAACAACAACAAUAACAAUGGUAAAAGUAAUUACUGCAAUAACAACAAUAUAGUAUUAACGUAAGCAAUAGCAAGCAACGCAGACGGGCGCGCAUCGCACGAUACUCGAAGAAGCAGACCAUGCUGCAAAAAGAGAGAGGAAAGCACGAAGCCAAAUGGGAUAAAAACGUUUGGUCUGGUUUGAACAUUACAUUCUGUGUAUGUAUGAAAUAAAAAGGCAAUUAUCAUUCAAAAAUUGCAUAUUAUAUAAUUUGUAAAUUUUAGCAAUUUGUAAGUCGUAAAAUAAGUAAUAAUACUUACAUAAAUAUGUAUGUAUGUAUAAAAACAUAUGUUGCUUACAUAUCUUUACGUAAUUAAAUAAACAAACAUACAUUUACAUACAUACACAGACACAUACAUACAUAUGUAGUCAGAGUCUCGGCAUCUCACAUGAAAAGCGCACACGCACUCACACAUUUCACACUUAGGGCGAGUUUACAUAGCCGGUCAGUCUUAUGAUCACAGUUCAAAGUUAGUUAACUGUCAUAUUUCGAGCACUUUUGAACUCAGUUUGUUGGAGCGAAGGGUGAAAUUCUCAGUGGCCAUUACUUUUGAGUGACAUUUCAUUCAUUUGGAAUCGGUGAUUCGUCGCGCCCACGUCGAAAUAUUCGCUGUCCGAUUUAUUUAUUUUUGUUGUUGUAGCAUUAUGAAAUACUUUUUACUGAUGCUGGAGUAAAUGCUCAGCGUGUACGGCUUUCAUUCUCGAUUAUGGCCAUUUUGCAAAUUUUUUGUAUCCAUAGAAUCGAGGAAAAUUAAAUGUGGUAAAAUAUACAUUUGUACAUAUAUCUCUCAUCAGUUGCAAGACUGUUAUAAUCCAAGAAAAUAUUUUUUUUUUUUGAUAAAUAUGCAGAAAUUACCACCAGCUUUUUUUUUUUGAGAUGUGUAAAAAUCAUGGCGAUGUCUAUUAACAGUAACUCUCUAGAUGAAAAUAUGUCUUUAUAGUAAAUACAUAGUAAAUUGAAAAUUUUGAAACCCCUUUUCUCGAUAUUUUGAAUUUUUUGGACUUUGCAGCAAAUCAACGAAAUAUACAAAGAUAACAAAUAAUAAAAUCUGAUAUGUCGAAAAUCUUAUAACUAAGUCAAGCCGUAAGGUAUUGUUGGAGCGAAACAGUAGUGGUACACUUUGUUAUGGGAAAAUCACUUGUUAGAAAAACACUUGUGUAAUUAUGGAAAGUAAAAACAUAGGGGGAUGCUAUCAAAAACGAAACGUAAGGAGUAGGGUAUGAAAAGUAAAAGGCGUGUGAUAAAUAGUUUGUGCAAAGCACGUUGUACAGAAUACAGAAGGUUGCGCCUUCCGUACACCGCUACUUAUAUGUCGCGAUUUUGACAACCGAUGACAUCAUCUCUGCUGAUAAACAAACAAAAGAAAGAGAAGUUAGUUACUUGUAAAUAUUCUGUGAAUGGCUUGGGAAUAUACUGAUUUUAAGAUUUGUGUUUUCUAAAUUAAACGAACUAAUAAAAACGCAGAGGCGAGGCGCGUGAUAAAUUGUGAAGCACGAAUUAUAACAAUAUCUUCAAAGGCAGGUUUUUUGUGUGUUUUUGCCGAUCCCGCCGUGGCAAGAAAGUGUGCGUGUGUAUGAUUUCUUGGCAGUUUCCAUUGUUUUCGCUUACUCUUCCGCUUCAAAAACAAGUAAUUUUUCUUCCUUUUGUUUGUUUAUCUGCAGAGAUGGCGUCACGGCGAAUUUAGAAGGCGCAAUCUUGUAAUGUACACUUUGUAUCAUACGAGUUUUAGUGGUUGAAAGAAAAUUCCGUGCCAGUAAUGAAGUGAAGUACAAAAUAGUGUGAUCACCAGCGAAUCGUUACACAUCGGAAAAUAAAGUCUUAGAAGAUUUUCGUUUGAAGGUCGUUUGAUGGAGGAACGUCAUAACUCACAAAUCGGAGGAACGCGGGUUUACAAUUUGCAGUUGGCUAUUAUUGCACCCUCAGCUGUAUUGCAAAAAAAUAUUUCUUCAAGAUUUUUUUCUAUAAAACAUUAAAUUUAUUUUUAAAAUCAAUUAAAAAUCUAAAAGUAUGUAACUCGAGUUUCAAAGUAAAAAAAGUUUUAAAUGUGAAAAAAGUAGAAACUAUAGACGAUCAAAGUAACGUCUUCCACAAAAAUAAGCAUAUAUUUGCCAUUUGAUAUAUCCUCGCUGAAAAUCACCCAAUUUUUUAUAAAAACAGAAAACGCACGAAGUGUCCUAUUGAUAUGUCAACUUCUUAAAAAAAACAUGCCAAAAAGGCACUAUAAAACGGAAUAAAAAAUGGCCGAUAUGACAGUUUUAGGACACGAAAUUUUUUUAUAAAAUAUUGCACUGGGUCCCAUACUUUGAGGGUACUUAAAAUACUAAGUAGCAGAAGAGAACUAUUGAAAAAUGAACGACGAUAGUUGAUUUAUUAUUAUCGAAAAUAUUAAAAGGGUGAGACAAACCACUCUUACGGCACGACAAUAGGCGGUUGUAAAUAUUAUUUUUUGACAAAACUAUUCGCCGUAGAACUUUUCGUAUCUAUUUAUGUUUAGUAGAUUUGAUGAAUAUCACAAAUAUUAUUAAAAAUUAAUCGACAGUUCCUCCUGGACGCUCGUUCACUAUGGACGCAAUAGGCACCUCAAUUUUUAUCUGAAACAAGUAAAUGCAAAUUUUUUUUGCUGCUUGAUAAAUUGUAUGCAUUAAAAAAAUCAUUACGCAAAUAGGUGUACUUAAUUUUUUUUUUUU